Molecule: ribosomal RNA, 254 nt
Filed under: uncultured bacterium
Lineage: Bacteria
Description: partial 16S ribosomal RNA
Rfam family: Bacterial small subunit ribosomal RNA
Source: RNAcentral
CACGUAGGGGGCAAGCGUUGUCCGGAUUUAUUGGGCGUAAAGAGCUCGUAGGCGGUUCGCUAAGUCGGGUGUGAAACCUCCAGGCUCAACCUGGAGACGCCACCUGAUACUGGUGUGACUCGAGUCCGGUAGGGGAGCGUGGAAUUCCUGGUGUAGCGGUGAAAUGCGCAGAUAUCAGGAGGAACACCAGCGGCGAAGGCGGCGCUCUGGUACGUGACUGACGCUGAGACGCGAAAGCGUGGGGAGCGAACAGG